GAUGGGUUCUAUUUGCAGGAUAUGAUGAUGUGAGCCUGUGAAGAAAGCAUGUGGUGGAACGGGAGGGUGCCUUGCUAUAUUUUAGUUGCAUUAAUCACACAAACUUUAAGUCCUGGAGGCCGAAGUCCUCAGUUCUAGGAACAUGCAAACUUUAAAGAUACCAUAAUAUUCUUCCUUUGUAAGCUGCAUUGAUUCUGUAUUGGUGCUUCAAUCUGCACAUUUGUCUUUGCAGGUCAAUAAGGCCUUGAACAUUUUUGGAGCAUGAGUGCAUGUCUGAGCAUACUUAAG
This 288-nucleotide unclassified non-coding RNA is filed under the name Hevea brasiliensis (rubber tree). Lineage: Eukaryota; Viridiplantae; Streptophyta; Magnoliopsida; Malpighiales; Euphorbiaceae. The record is from RNAcentral.